RNAcentral lists this ribosomal RNA (253 nucleotides) under uncultured bacterium. RNAcentral describes it as "partial 16S ribosomal RNA". It matches the Rfam family "Bacterial small subunit ribosomal RNA", at positions 524 to 776 of the family's 1533-position model. The record is from RNAcentral.
UACGAAGGGGGCUAGCGUUGUUCGGAAUUACUGGGCGUAAAGCGCACGUAGGCGGAUAUUUAAGUCAGGGGUGAAAUCCCAGAGCUCAACUCCGGAAUUGCCUUUAAGACUGCAUCGCUAGAAUUGUGGAGAGGUAAGUGGAAUUCCGAGUGUAGAGGUGAAAUUCGUAGAUAUUCGGAAGAACACCAGUGGCGAAGGCGACUUACUGGACACAUAUUGACGCUGAGGUGCGAAAGCGUGGGGAGCAAACAGG